GGCAGGAUGGUCUAGCUUGGCAAGAUUUUUGCUUCGGGAGCAAAGGAACCAGGGUUCAAAUCCCUGUUCUGCCACCA
Molecule: transfer RNA, 77 nt
Filed under: Promethearchaeati archaeon
Lineage: Archaea; Promethearchaeati
Also listed under: 1 other name
Description: Asgard group archaeon (marine sediment metagenome) tRNA-Pro
Rfam family: tRNA
About the family: Transfer RNA (tRNA) molecules are approximately 80 nucleotides in length. Their secondary structure includes four short double-helical elements and three loops (D, anti-codon, and T loops).
Source: RNAcentral